GGGGGGGUUCACAUUUUUUGUGCAACCAGCGGGUGUGAGAGAGGGGCACUAGUUGUUGAUGGGGAUGCAGGUGGGGGGGGGAGUGAGAGAAAGAGGACAACAAAAGGGCUGAAAGGAGAACCCCUAACAGCUGUCAGGACAGAGGGCUAGGAAACUGCACUGCCCGGACCAAAUCCAUUAUCCGCAUGAGCGGUCACCUAAGCAUACAGCUAUCAUGCUCACUUUUAUUUGGCUAAUUUGCGUUAGCAUGCAGCUACCACACACACUGUUAUACAGGCAACUUGCAUCAGAGUACAGCUAUCACACAUACUUGGGUCCAGGCGUUUUUUCAAAAAUUGGCGGUUUGCCUGAGUUUAGUGCUGCAAUGACCCUCUAUGACCCAGUGCUGUAAGUUAGUCGAGUGCCACGUGAAGCAGAAAAAGCACCAAUAUUUGAUAUCAGUAUCAUUAGCCAGCUUUUUCCAAGGCUCCUGAUUACGCGUUUACUUUGAAAAUUAAAUGACAUGGACAUCCCUACGUGUCACACUGUUCACAAGUGACGUCAGCUUCCUGAAAGCAUUGGCACUUAAUUUUUGUUUUCAUUUGAACAGUGAAUCAUGCUGUUUGCUAGAAGUUUGACAAACUUUAGCUUUGAGUUUUGUAUCUUUUGUCAUGAAGGACUUGUAUAUGUGUAUAUUGUGUCAGUUGUGUGUAGAUCGUAAAAUGACAACAGUAAGGUUACCAUACGUCUGGGUUUCUUUGGACGCAAAUUUUCAUUUUACAUGGUGGUUUGGGAACUUAUUAAUAUUCAUAAAAGAAGUGCUACGGGAUUGAACGCUGAGCGCUAGAACUCAUUAAUAUUUCAGGAAAGUGCUACCUGAUUGAUCAGUGAAUGUGAAAACUCAUUAAUAUUCUGAUACCCAGACACAUCCUCUUUUCCAUCUCGCCAAAUAUGGUAACCCUAACACGCUGUUAUAUUCCUAACUCACAUUAUUAUGCAGCUGUCACACACACGAUUACACAGGUAACUGGCAUUAUUCAUGCAGCUGUCACACACACUAUUUUAUACAGGUAACUCACAUUAGCAUGCAGCUGUCACACACACUAUUUUAUACAGGUAACUCACAUUAGCAUGCAGCUGUCACACACACUAUUUUAUACAGGUAACUCACAUUAGCAUGCAGCUGUCACACGCACUAUUUUAUACAGGUAACUCACAUUAGCAUGCAGCUGUCACACACACUAUUAUACAGGUAACUCACAUUAGCAUGCAGCUGUCACACACACUAUUUUAUACAGGUAACUCACAUUAGCAUGCAGCUGUCACACGCACUAUUUUAUACAGGUAACUGGCAUUAUUCAUGCAGCUGUCACACGCACUAUUUUAUACAGGUAACUCACAUUAGCAUGCAGCUGUCACACGCACUAUUUUAUACAGGUAACUGGCAUUAUUCAUGCAGCUGUCACACGCACUAUUAUACAGGUAACUGGCAUUAGCAUACAGCUGUCACACGCACUAUUAUACAGGUAACUGGCAUUAUUCAUGCAGCUGUCACACGCACUAUUUUAUACAGGUAACUGGUAAUUUCAUGCAGCUGUCACACGCACUAUUAUACAGGUAACUCACAUUAGCAUGCAGCUGUCACACACACUAUUAUACAGGUAACUGGCAUUAUUCAUGCAGUUGUCACACGCACUAUUAUACAGGUAACUGGCGUUAGCAUGCAGCUGUCACACACACUAUUAUACAGGUAACUGGCGUUAGCAUGCAGCUGUCACACACACUAUUAUACAGGUAACUGGCAUUAGCAUACAGCUGUCACACGCACUAUUAUACAGGUAACUGGCAUUAUUCAUGCAGUUGUCAUACGCACUAUUAUACAGGUAACUGGCAUUAGCAUACAGCUGUCACACACACUAUUAUACAGGUAACUGGCAUUAUUCAUGCAGUUGUCACACACACUAUUAUACAGGUAACUGGCAUUAGCAUACAGCUGUCACGCGCACCAUUAUACAGGUAACUGGCAUUAGCAUGCAGCUGUCACACACACUAUUAUACAGGUAACUGGCAUUAUUCAUGCAGCUGUCAC
Brienomyrus brachyistius is the source of this 2068-nucleotide long non-coding RNA. RefSeq lists it as uncharacterized. The transcript has 7 exons. Lineage: Eukaryota; Metazoa; Chordata; Actinopteri; Osteoglossiformes; Mormyridae. The record is from RefSeq and is a predicted model, not a curated record.